Molecule: ribosomal RNA, 1471 nt
Filed under: Staphylococcus sp. HMSC065C10
Lineage: Bacteria; Bacillati; Bacillota; Bacilli; Caryophanales; Staphylococcaceae
Description: bacterial LSU rRNA
Rfam family: Bacterial large subunit ribosomal RNA
Source: RNAcentral
AGAUUAAGUUAUUAAGGGCGCACGGUGGAUGCCUUGGCACUAGAAGCCGACGAAGGACGUUACUAACGACGAUAUGCUUUGGGUAGCUGUAAGUAAGCGUUGAUCCAGAGAUUUCCGAAUGGGGGAACCCAGCACGAGUUAUGUCGUGUUAUCGACAAGUGAAUUCAUAGCUUGUCAGAAGGCAGACCCGGAGAACUGAAACAUCUUAGUACCCGGAGGAAGAGAAAGAAAAAUCGAUUCCCUGAGUAGCGGCGAGCGAAACGGGAAGAGCCCAAACCAAUAAGCUUGCUUAUUGGGGUUGUAGGACACUCUAUACGGAGUUACAAAGGAAUAUGUUAGACGAAUCAUCUGGAAAGUUGAAUCAAAGAAGGUAAUAAUCCUGUAGUUGAAAAUAUAUUCUCUCUUGAGUGGAUCCUGAGUACGACGGAGCACGUGAAAUUCCGUCGGAAUCUGGGAGGACCAUCUCCUAAGGCUAAAUACUCUCUAGUGACCGAUAGUGAACCAGUACCGUGAGGGAAAGGUGAAAAGUACCCCGGAAGGGGAGUGAAAGAGAACUUGAAACCGUGUGCUUACAAGUAGUCAGAGCCCGUUAAUGGGUGAUGGCGUGCCUUUUGUAGAAUGAACCGGCGAGUUACGAUCUGAUGCAAGGUUAAGCAGGAAAUGUGGAGCCGUAGCGAAAGCGAGUCUGAAUAGGGCGUUGAGUAUUUGGUCGUAGACCCGAAACCAGGUGAUCUACCCAUGGUCAGGUUGAAGUUCAGGUAACACUGAAUGGAGGACCGAACCGACUUACGUUGAAAAGUGAGCGGAUGAACUGUGGGUAGCGGAGAAAUUCCAAUCGAACUUGGAGAUAGCUGGUUCUCUCCGAAAUAGCUUUAGGGCUAGCCUCAAGUGAUGAUUAUUGGAGGUAGAGCACUGUUUGGACGAGGGGCCCCUCUCGGGUUACCGAAUUCAGACAAACUCCGAAUGCCAAUUAAUUUAACUUGGGAGUCAGAACAUGGGUGAUAAGGUCCGUGUUCGAAAGGGAAACAGCCCAGACCACCAGCUAAGGUCCCAAAAUAUAUGUUAAGUGGAAAAGGAUGUGGCGUUGCCCAGACAACUAGGAUGUUGGCUUAGAAGCAGCCAUCAUUUAAAGAGUGCGUAAUAGCUCACUAGUCGAGUGACACUGCGCCGAAAAUGUACCGGGGCUAAACAUAUUACCGAAGCUGUGGAUUGUCCGUAGGACAAUGGUAGGAGAGCGUUCUAAGGGCGUUGAAGCAUGAUCGCAAGGACAUGUGGAGCGCUUAGAAGUGAGAAUGCCGGUGUGAGUAGCGAAAGACGGGUGAGAAUCCCGUCCACCGAUUGACUAAGGUUUCCAGAGGAAGGCUCGUCCGCUCUGGGUUAGUCGGGUCCUAAGCUGAGGCCGACAGGCGUAGGCGAUGGAUAACAGGUUGAUAUUCCUGUACCACCUAGCAUCGUUUUAAUCGAUGGGGGG